CCACGCUGUAAACGAUGUCGAUUUGGAGUUUGUUGCCUAGAGUGAUGGGCUCCGAAGCUAACGCGAUAAAUCGACCGCCUGGGGAGUACGGCCGCAAGGUUAAAACUCAAAUGAAUUGACGGGGGCCCGCACAAGCGGUGGAGCAUGUGGUUUAAUUCGAUGCAACGCGAAGAACCUUACCUGGUCUUGACAUCCAUAGAAUUCUGCAGAGAUGUGGGAGUGCCUUCGGGAACUAUGAGACAGGUGCUGCAUGGCUGUCGUCAGCUCGUGUUGUGAAAUGUUGGGUUAAGUCCCGCAACGAGCGCAACCCUUAUUCUUUGUUGCCAGCGAUUUGGUCGGGAACUCAAAGGAGACUGCCGUUGAUAAAGCGGAGGAAGGUGGGGACGACGUCAAGUCAUCAUGGCCCUUACGACCAGGGCUACACACGUGCUACAAUGGCGUAUACAAAGGGAAGCGAAGGUGCGAGCUGGAGCGGAUCUCAUAAAGUACGUCUAAGUUCGGAUUGGAGUCUGCAACUCGACUCCAUGAAGUCGGAAUCGCUAGUAAUCGUAGAUCAGAAUGCUACGGUGAAUACGUUCCCGGGCCUUGUACACACCGCCCGUCACACCAUGGGAGUGGGUUGCACCAGAAGUAGAUAGCUUAACCGCGAGGGGGGCGUUUACCACGGUGUGAUUCAUGACUGGGGUGAAGUCGUAACAAGGUAACCA
Molecule: ribosomal RNA, 707 nt
Filed under: uncultured Enterobacteriaceae bacterium
Lineage: Bacteria; Pseudomonadati; Pseudomonadota; Gammaproteobacteria; Enterobacterales; Enterobacteriaceae
Description: bacterial SSU rRNA
Rfam family: Bacterial small subunit ribosomal RNA
Source: RNAcentral